UUUCAUUGUUUUCGAUUUUGGUUUUUUUUUUUGUUAAUGUAAUUCGGUUAAAAGUAAGCGUAAAAACCUGAAAUUUUGGUAACGGCCGGACAAUUUUAAUCUCGUAAAUAAUUUAGUAGAUGACGAAACGGAUCAAAAUGUUCGCAUUUUCAAAUAUCGUUGUUAGACACGGUAAAACGUUCAAAACAUUCUGUUGGUUUUCAAGCUAUUAUUUCUAUAGCUGUUUAAAGUUUUCGAGGUUUUUUAGUUUUUAUUUGGUUCUGAGUAUGCGGAUUAAAUUGAUAUAGCCC
Cinara cedri is the source of this 290-nucleotide non-coding RNA. Lineage: Eukaryota; Metazoa; Arthropoda; Insecta; Hemiptera; Aphididae. The record is from the annotation of a GenBank genome assembly.